Long non-coding RNA from Hemicordylus capensis (graceful crag lizard), 539 nucleotides. RefSeq lists it as uncharacterized. The record is from RefSeq and is a predicted model, not a curated record. The transcript is spliced from 3 exons. NCBI's taxonomy places the organism in Eukaryota, Metazoa, Chordata, Lepidosauria, Squamata, Cordylidae.
UAGCACUGUGGUGAUUGUAGGAACAGCUACUCAUACAUUGUGUGAGGAAUGGACUUGAAAAUAAGAUGUUAAGUUCAGCAAAGAAACAAACUCCAUAGUUAAUAUAGGACUGGACAACAUGACUGGUGGUGGUGGCCAUGGGUUCAAGGGCCAAGUCAAAGCACAGUGGAGAUAGUGGCAGCAAGCAGGACGGCCAACACCCAGAGCAGGUGGGGGCUGCACUCACCGUCAAGAGGUGACUCCUAAACAGCUUCUCUUCACCAUGAACCCACUGCUCAUAGAGAUCAUCUAGAGAGGUCCGUCUGCAGUUGCUACUGGAUCAUCUGUGGCUACUCAGGGUCGGGCCUUCUCUGUUGCUGCCCUAAGGUUUGGAAUGCACUCCCUGUUGAAAUAAGAGCAUCCCCAUCUCUGACAAAUUUUUAAAAGGUCUUUAAAGACACAUUUGUUCACUCAGACUUUUAAUUAGAUUGCAGUAUUUACAGUUUUAUUAUUGUGUUAAAUUUUAAAUUGUUGUAGUAUUUUAACUUUUUAUUUUGUAU